RNAcentral lists this ribosomal RNA (495 nucleotides) under uncultured bacterium. Its description in RNAcentral is "partial 16S ribosomal RNA". It matches the Rfam family "Bacterial small subunit ribosomal RNA", at positions 28 to 507 of the family's 1533-position model. The record is from RNAcentral.
GACGAACGCUGGCGGCGUGCCUAAUACAUGCAAGUAGAACGCUGAAGGAGGAGCUUGCUUCUCUGGAUGAGUUGCGAACGGGUGAGUAACGCGUAGGUAACCUGCCUGGUAGCGGGGGAUAACUAUUGGAAACGAUAGCUAAUACCGCAUAAUAGCAGUUGUUGCAUGACAACUGUUUGAAAGGUGCAAUUGCACCACUACCAGAUGGACCUGCGUUGUAUUAGCUAGUUGGUGGGGUAACGGCUCACCAAGGCGACGAUACAUAGCUGACCUGAGAGGGUGAUCGGCCACACUGGGACUGAGACACGGCCCAGACUCCUACGGGAGGCAGCAGUAGGGAAUCUUCGGCAAUGGACGGAAGUCUGACCGAGCAACGCCGCGUGAGUGAAGAAGGUUUUCGGAUCGUAAAGCUCUGUUGUAAGAGAAGAACGAGUGUGAGAGUGGAAAGUUCACACUGUGACGGUAUCUUACCAGAAAGGGACGGCUAACUACGUG